This 428-nucleotide ribosomal RNA is filed under the name uncultured bacterium. RNAcentral describes it as "partial 16S ribosomal RNA". It matches the Rfam family "Bacterial small subunit ribosomal RNA", at positions 354 to 796 of the family's 1533-position model. The record is from RNAcentral.
GUAGGGAAUAUUGCGCAAUGGGGGAAACCCUGACGCAGCGACGCCGCGUGAGUGAUGAAGGCCUUCGGGUCGUAAAGCUCUGUUGCAGGGGAAUAAAAAAAUGAAGGUACCCUGUGAGGAAGGAUCGGCUAACUUCGUGCCAGCAGCCGCGGUAAGACGAGGGAUCCUAGCGUUGCUCGGAAUCAUUGGGCGUAAAGAGGGCGUAGGUGGCUUGGUAAGUCAGGUGUGAAAGCCCAGUGCUCAACCCUGGAAGUGCAUUUGAUACUGCUGAGCUUGAGUGUCGGAGAGGUUACCGGAAUACCUGGUGUAGUGGUGAAAUACGUAGAUAUCAGGUGGAACACCGGAGGCGAAGGCGGGUAACUGGACGAACACUGACACUGAGGCCCGAAAGCGUGGGGAUCAAACAGGAUUAGAAACCCGAGUAGUCC